Molecule: ribosomal RNA, 492 nt
Filed under: uncultured bacterium
Lineage: Bacteria
Description: partial 16S ribosomal RNA
Rfam family: Bacterial small subunit ribosomal RNA
Source: RNAcentral
AGUGAACGCUGGCGGUAGGCCUAACACAUGCAAGUCGAACGGCAGCACAGUAAGAGCUUGCUCUUACGGGUGGCGAGUGGCGGACGGGUGAGGAAUACAUCGCCAUCUACUUUUUCGUGGGGAAUAACGUAGGAAAACUUACGCUAAUACCUCAUACAACCUACGGGUGAAAGCAGGGGAUCUUCGGACUUUUCCCGUUUGAUUUAGCCGAUGUCGGAUUAGCUAGUUGGCGGGGUAAAGGCCCACCAAGGCGACGAUGCGUAGCUGGUCUGAGAGGAUGAUCAGCCACACUGGAACUGAGACACGGUCCAGACUCCUACGGGAGGCAGCAGUAGGGAAUAUUGGACAAUGGGCGCAAGCCUGACCCAGCCAUACCGCGUGAGUGAAGAAGGCCUUCGGGUUGUAAAGCCCUUUUGUUGGGAAAGAAAAGCAGCAUGUUAAUACCCCGCUGUUCUGACGGUACCCAAAGAAUAAGCACCGGCUAACUUCGUG